The sequence is a transfer RNA, 72 nucleotides long. It matches the Rfam family "tRNA". Rfam says of the family: Transfer RNA (tRNA) molecules are approximately 80 nucleotides in length. Their secondary structure includes four short double-helical elements and three loops (D, anti-codon, and T loops).
GGUCGGUUGGCCGAGCGGUUAGGCAAAGGUCUGCAAAACCUUCUACGGCGGUUCGAACCCGCCACCGACCUC